Molecule: ribosomal RNA, 2610 nt
Filed under: Escherichia coli
Lineage: Bacteria; Pseudomonadati; Pseudomonadota; Gammaproteobacteria; Enterobacterales; Enterobacteriaceae
Description: partial 23S ribosomal RNA
Rfam family: Bacterial large subunit ribosomal RNA
Source: RNAcentral
UGUGUGUUAGUGGAAGCGUCUGGAAAGGCGCGCGAUACAGGGUGACAGCCCCGUACACAAAAAUGCACAUGCUGUGAGCUCGAUGAGUAGGGCGGGACACGUGGUAUCCUGUCUGAAUAUGGGGGGACCAUCCUCCAAGGCUAAAUACUCCUGACUGACCGAUAGUGAACCAGUACCGUGAGGGAAAGGCGAAAAGAACCCCGGCGAGGGGAGUGAAAAAGAACCUGAAACCGUGUACGUACAAGCAGUGGGAGCCUCUUUUAUGGGGUGACUGCGUACCUUUUGUAUAAUGGGUCAGCGACUUAUAUUCUGUAGCAAGGUUAACCGAAUAGGGGAGCCGAAGGGAAACCGAGUCUUAACUGGGCGUUAAGUUGCAGGGUAUAGACCCGAAACCCGGUGAUCUAGCCAUGGGCAGGUUGAAGGUUGGGUAACACUAACUGGAGGACCGAACCGACUAAUGUUGAAAAAUUAGCGGAUGACUUGUGGCUGGGGGUGAAAGGCCAAUCAAACCGGGAGAUAGCUGGUUCUCCCCGAAAGCUAUUUAGGUAGCGCCUCGUGAAUUCAUCUCCGGGGGUAGAGCACUGUUUCGGCAAGGGGGUCAUCCCGACUUACCAACCCGAUGCAAACUGCGAAUACCGGAGAAUGUUAUCACGGGAGACACACGGCGGGUGCUAACGUCCGUCGUGAAGAGGGAAACAACCCAGACCGCCAGCUAAGGUCCCAAAGUCAUGGUUAAGUGGGAAACGAUGUGGGAAGGCCCAGACAGCCAGGAUGUUGGCUUAGAAGCAGCCAUCAUUUAAAGAAAGCGUAAUAGCUCACUGGUCGAGUCGGCCUGCGCGGAAGAUGUAACGGGGCUAAACCAUGCACCGAAGCUGCGGCAGCGACGCUUAUGCGUUGUUGGGUAGGGGAGCGUUCUGUAAGCCUGCGAAGGUGUACUGUGAGGUAUGCUGGAGGUAUCAGAAGUGCGAAUGCUGACAUAAGUAACGAUAAAGCGGGUGAAAAGCCCGCUCGCCGGAAGACCAAGGGUUCCUGUCCAACGUUAAUCGGGGCAGGGUGAGUCGACCCCUAAGGCGAGGCCGAAAGGCGUAGUCGAUGGGAAACAGGUUAAUAUUCCUGUACUUGGUGUUACUGCGAAGGGGGGACGGAGAAGGCUAUGUUGGCCGGGCGACGGUUGUCCCGGUUUAAGCGUGUAGGCUGGUUUUCCAGGCAAAUCCGGAAAAUCAAGGCUGAGGCGUGAUGACGAGGCACUACGGUGCUGAAGCAACAAAUGCCCUGCUUCCAGGAAAAGCCUCUAAGCAUCAGGUAACAUCAAAUCGUACCCCAAACCGACACAGGUGGUCAGGUAGAGAAUACCAAGGCGCUUGAGAGAACUCGGGUGAAGGAACUAGGCAAAAUGGUGCCGUAACUUCGGGAGAAGGCACGCUGAUAUGUAGGUGAAGUCCCUCGCGGAUGGAGCUGAAAUCAGUCGAAGAUACCAGCUGGCUGCAACUGUUUAUUAAAAACACAGCACUGUGCAAACACGAAAGUGGACGUAUACGGUGUGACGCCUGCCCGGUGCCGGAAGGUUAAUUGAUGGGGUUAGCGCAAGCGAAGCUCUUGAUCGAAGCCCCGGUAAACGGCGGCCGUAACUAUAACGGUCCUAAGGUAGCGAAAUUCCUUGUCGGGUAAGUUCCGACCUGCACGAAUGGCGUAAUGAUGGCCAGGCUGUCUCCACCCGAGACUCAGUGAAAUUGAACUCGCUGUGAAGAUGCAGUGUACCCGCGGCAAGACGGAAAGACCCCGUGAACCUUUACUAUAGCUUGACACUGAACAUUGAGCCUUGAUGUGUAGGAUAGGUGGGAGGCUUAGAAGUGUGGACGCCAGUCUGCAUGGAGCCGACCUUGAAAUACCACCCUUUAAUGUUUGAUGUUCUAACGUUGACCCGUAAUCCGGGUUGCGGACAGUGUCUGGUGGGUAGUUUGACUGGGGCGGUCUCCUCCUAAAGAGUAACGGAGGAGCACGAAGGUUGGCUAAUCCUGGUCGGACAUCAGGAGGUUAGUGCAAUGGCAUAAGCCAGCUUGACUGCGAGCGUGACGGCGCGAGCAGGUGCGAAAGCAGGUCAUAGUGAUCCGGUGGUUCUGAAUGGAAGGGCCAUCGCUCAACGGAUAAAAGGUACUCCGGGGAUAACAGGCUGAUACCGCCCAAGAGUUCAUAUCGACGGCGGUGUUUGGCACCUCGAUGUCGGCUCAUCACAUCCUGGGGCUGAAGUAGGUCCCAAGGGUAUGGCUGUUCGCCAUUUAAAGUGGUACGCGAGCUGGGUUUAGAACGUCGUGAGACAGUUCGGUCCCUAUCUGCCGUGGGCGCUGGAGAACUGAGGGGGGCUGCUCCUAGUACGAGAGGACCGGAGUGGACGCAUCACUGGUGUUCGGGUUGUCAUGCCAAUGGCACUGCCCGGUAGCUAAAUGCGGAAGAGAUAAGUGCUGAAAGCAUCUAAGCACGAAACUUGCCCCGAGAUGAGUUCUCCCUGACUCCUUGAGAGUCCUGAAGGAACGUUGAAGACGACGACGUUGAUAGGCCGGGUGUGUAAGCGCAGCGAUGCGUUGAGCUAACCGGUACUAAUGAACCGUGAGG